CACUGAUGAGUCUUGUGUAGACGCUAAACGUGGUCUGCCGUAUGAAUUAAAUUAUAAGCCUGGUAUCUUUGAUUAAUAUUACACCGGUCACAUCUGCCUGGCAAGUAUUUACAGGGUCUUUUACAAUCAAACAUUAUUUACAAAAAAAAAAAAAUAUUUUGAAAAAACCAACAAAAGAAAAAAAAAACAACCCUAUUUUCAAGUUAGCAUGCACCUAUUGGCGAGCACGACUUACAAAAUAUGCACAGAUAUCGGUUUAUAUUGAUUUUAAUAAUUGUUUGGCAGAAUGUUUACUAUAAUUUCAACUCUUCAAAUCGUUGUUUCGCCACUAAAACCUAUACAUAACAGGCAGGA
RNAcentral lists this long non-coding RNA (354 nucleotides) under Mytilus galloprovincialis (Mediterranean mussel). The record is from RNAcentral. Lineage: Eukaryota; Metazoa; Mollusca; Bivalvia; Mytilida; Mytilidae.